UAGGGAAUCUUCCGCAAUGGACGCAAGUCUGACGGAGCAACGCCGCGUGAAUGAAGAAGGAUUUCGGUUCGUAAAACUCUGUUGUUAGAGAAGAACAGCGCAUAGAGUAACUGUUAUGCGUGUGACGGUAUCUAACCAGAAAGCCACGGCUAACUACGUGCCAGCAGCCGCGGUAAUACGUAGGUGGCAAGCGUUGUCCGGACUUAUUGGGCGUAAAGCGAGCGCAGGCGGUCAAUUAAGUCUGAUGUGAAAGCCCCCGGCUCAACCGGGGAGGGUCAUUGGAAACUGGUGGACUUGAGUGCAGAAGAGGAGAGUGGAAUUCCAUGUGUAGCGGUGAAAUGCGUAGAUAUAUGGAGGAACACCAGUGGCGAAGGCGACUCUCUGGUCUGUAACUGACGCUGGGGCUCGAAAGCGUGGGUAGCAAACAGG
RNAcentral lists this ribosomal RNA (429 nucleotides) under Bacteroidota bacterium. RNAcentral's name for it is "Bacteroidetes bacterium partial 16S ribosomal RNA". It matches the Rfam family "Bacterial small subunit ribosomal RNA", at positions 355 to 776 of the family's 1533-position model. Lineage: Bacteria; Pseudomonadati; Bacteroidota. The record is from RNAcentral.